CAAUAGCGUAUAUUUAAGUUGUUGCAGUUAAAAAGCUCGUAGUUGGAUUUCGGGUGGGACGCAGCGGUCUCGCAUUGCGUUUUUACUGCUGCAGCCCUCCUUCUUGCCGGGGGCGGCCUCUCGGACUUCACUGUCUGGGGGUCAGAAUCGGCGAUGUUACUUUGAGUAAAUUAGAGUGUUCAAAGCAAGCUUACGCUCUGAAUAUAAUAGCAUGGGAUAACACGACAGGACUCUGGCCUAUCGUGUUGGUCUAUAGGACCAGAGUAAUGAUUAAGAGGGACAGUCGGGGGCAUUCGUAUUCCGUUGUCAGAGGUGAAAUUCUUGGAUUUACGGAAGACGAACAUCUGCGAAAGCAUUUGCCAAGGAUGUUUUCAUUGA
Molecule: ribosomal RNA, 378 nt
Filed under: uncultured eukaryote
Lineage: Eukaryota
Description: partial 18S ribosomal RNA
Rfam family: Eukaryotic small subunit ribosomal RNA
Source: RNAcentral